GUAUGAUGGCGCGGUGGAUAAUACUUUUAUUUGUUUACAGCGUUGUGAAUGGACGAGAGAUGAAUCAUUACGUUUUAAAGAAUUGCUGUAAGGCUGGGAGGUUGUUGGCCCUUUUCGGACAAAACUGUACACGCGACCAUCCCAUCUCUUCUUCCGAUCAAUGCGGUUUCACCAAGGAGAAGUGCUGCUUAGCAACUGAAAUAGACCAAUUCUGUGAGGAUGGCAUGGAGAAGGCCAAGGAGCACGGGGUCUGAGAUGAACUUUCAUUCCCAGGAGACCCUCCGCAAGGCGUACUGUCUAA
This is a non-coding RNA of Gasterosteus aculeatus aculeatus (three-spined stickleback), 301 nucleotides long. The record is from RefSeq and is a predicted model, not a curated record. Lineage: Eukaryota; Metazoa; Chordata; Actinopteri; Perciformes; Gasterosteidae.